AGCGAACGUUUGCGGCGGGCUUAACACAUGCAAGUCGAACGGGCUGUUCCUUCGGGGGCAGUCAGUGGCGCACGGGUGCGUAACACGUAGGUAAUCAACCCUCUGGUUGGGGAUAACACUUCGAAAGGAGUGCUAAUACCCGGUAUGGCGCAGCGGUCUUCGGAUCGCGGCGAGAAAGACCCCGCAAGGGUUGCCAGAGGACGAGCCUGCGGCCCAUCAGCUAGUUGGCGAGGUAACGGCUCACCAAGGCAAAGACGGGUAGCUGGUCUGAGAGGAUGAUCAGCCACACUGGAACUGAGACACGGUCCAGACUCCUACGGGAGGCAGCAGUGGGGAAUAUUGCGCAAUGGGCGAAAGCCUGACGCAGCCACGCCGCGUGAGCGAUGAAGG
RNAcentral lists this ribosomal RNA (390 nucleotides) under uncultured bacterium. Its description in RNAcentral is "bacterial SSU rRNA". It matches the Rfam family "Bacterial small subunit ribosomal RNA", at positions 29 to 414 of the family's 1533-position model. The record is from RNAcentral.